CCAGUGAUAACUUAAAGGCCUUCAGCACAGGGAAAGAGAAUUUCUCCCAAACUUGAUGUGUACCACUGGACUGGAGAAGGCUUUUGACACACGGACCUGCUUCUGCAGAACAGCACAUACCCUAAGCCUGAGGAUCUUCAACAUGUUCUCCGGUGGCAACUGGUGGAGAUUAAGUAGAGACGUAAAAUUAGUAUCUGAAUAUUCAUCUUUGGAAUUAUAGCUUGGGGAGCAAUAUUCAUGCUCCCCCAUCCUCUCAAAUAUUUGCAAAUGCAGCUCAGGGCUUGAAAGAAUAAUACAUAACUAGAAACCGAAGAAAGCACAUAACCCAAUCCAUAGUUGCAAAACCCUCAGGUAUUUCUAGGGAAUUGAGUGACUUUGGAACUGAAAGCAGAUGCAGUAACACAGGCAGCAGCUAAGGACACCACAUUGACUGGUAUCUGGAUUUUAUUCACCAGCUAUUGCUAAGUUUGGAUGUACUUGGUUCUGGAAAGAGAUUUAGCUACUGCUCUUCUUCAGCGAUGAUGUAACUGGACUGCUCAGUAGUGUGGAAACUUUGUAAGAACUUUUAGAGUCAGCAAAAGGAAGCCAUGGCUUCUCUUCAUCAGGAGAUGCUCAUCAUGCGAAUGGUUCAAAAACUAUUGCCAUUUGAAAAUUCAGGUUUUGUUGUUGAAGAAGAAUGAUUAUCCAUCAAGUAUUUACCUGAGCAAUGAAAUGAACAAGAAUGAAGCCUGACCCCCAGAAGCUUGCCUUCUAAUGGGAGACAGCACAGGAAUACUCAGGAGAGAGAAAACUUAAUAACCACCUCAAUAGAGAGCUGCAGAGAGCGCCACCAGGCACACAGAACAGAAAGAAACUUGGCUGUGGGGGUGGGCUAAUUAGGGAAUGCUUCUUGUAGGAGGUGGCAUGUAAGCGUUCUUGAAGGAUGAUUCAGAUUUAAACAAAUGAAAGCAGAUUUCAUUGAGUAAAGGAUUAAAAUGGUAAGUGAAUUAAAUAAUCAAAGUACAGCAUAGGAACUCACUGGAAAUAUGGGCUUGGAACACAGGCUCUACCUUAUUAAUUUCCUCGCCAUCCACAUGAAAAUAAACCUAGAAGGGCAGGUCUAUGGAUGGCCUAGACAGCUGACUCAUAAGAAGACCCAAUAUAACAGGACCAGAUAAUUGUCUUAAAAUUUAGACAACAAUAUUUGUGAUAUUUAAACUUUCAGCCUAUAAUAAAUGUUUGUACAGUCUCUAUAAAAGCAGGAAUAACGUGAUUAUUCUUGGAGCUUUAAAUGAAAGGCAAUUUCUGACCUUCAAAAGCUUUUCCUGACAAUUCUAUUGGCAAAUGAAAUUAUAUAUUCUCAUUCCUCAUGACUGUUCUUUAUGAAAUGACCACGUUUAAAAUGCAAAAAGCAUCUUAUUUUUUGCAAAGUGACAAAACGAUGAUGUAAUAUGGCCCUACAUAUUGAUUAGUAAUUAGUACACAUUUAACUGAAGUACGAUUCUUCAAAGCAGAAGCAUUGUUGUGUUUGAUGUCAAACUAUUACUGAAACUUUCCAAGCAUACUUGGAUUUCUCAGCACUGUCUUUAGAACUAAGCUACGAAUUACAGAAGAUACUAUCUUUCCUUUUUCAAUCACAUAGAUUUUAGACUCAAAAUAUACUUGGAAGCAAAAUGAAGCCCAGAGAUUUUCAGCCCAGCACUUGUUCUUAGCACGUCCAUGUGUGCAUAAUCCACAUGGGUCUGAGACAUUCUUUGUGACAUGGUCAAGAGAAUCUCUAAGCAACUAAAAACAUUGGUGGCGAAGGAAAGUGCCACAUGAGACAAUAUACAUGCCUGUUGUACCUCUCAGUUCUCACCUCUCAAAUAUGUAAUCUUGGUUUCUGCAUUUUAUCUGAGUCUCUGUGAAAACAGUCACACACUUUGAAGCUUCUGUUAGCAUAGUUUUGGAAUGAAACUCACUUCCUAAGUUUUUCACUUUUUUUUUAAAAGAUAUAUCUUGGUAAAUCAAUUUUCAUAUGUAUUUUGAAGACUUUUUAUGGAGUGGCUGGACUGGGCAGGCAAGAACAUCUAGAUGCCGUAAAGACAGAUAAACCGUAUAGUUGUAGCUGUAAAACCAGAACUGCUGGUGGCUGCUGGCUUCUAAAGUCUUUCCUGAUUAGAGCCAGUGUUAAAGUUCCUUAGCUGGAGCUUAACAACACAAUGGCUGAAGGAACGGAGUUGCCACACAAGUGUUUAAAUUCCACACCGGAUCCCUAGCUACAACAGAGAGGAAAGUUCAAACAACAAAAACAGAGUUGCAAGGUCUGACUUGCGUGUCAUGGAUACUCCUAACUCAUCACCAGGCUGCUCUUGUGCGCGGCAACCAGACCCUCCCCAGCAACACAGCUAAUUGAAUAAGGAUUUCGAAGCUUUGGGCUACCGAUAAGCCAAAGUGGCACAUGGCUCAUAACUCAAACAUUUCAUUUUAGGCAGCUGUUAUUUUUCCUUGCCAGGGCUAAUUUGGACUCUUCAAUCACUCUCUGUUCUUUAAUGAAAAAUUGUUUGUAGUUAUUGGUGGAGACAGAGAGCUACAGUUAUUGUUCUUGGAAGGUAAAUAAUUAUUGCUCAUUUUACUCAUGUAUACAAGUGAUACUAAAUUCAGGGCAU
Peromyscus maniculatus bairdii (prairie deer mouse) is the source of this 2627-nucleotide non-coding RNA. Lineage: Eukaryota; Metazoa; Chordata; Mammalia; Rodentia; Cricetidae. The record is from RefSeq and is a predicted model, not a curated record.